GAGCCAUCAUGUUAACAGAAGCACUGAGUUCAGGGGACCCUCUGGCUGGGUGCUGGGUGACUGAGAAAGGGAAGGGGCUCAGGUAACUUGGGGCAGUGACCUGGGGACCCCUGGGGCUGGCUGACCGCACUCCAGGGCGUGCCCGCACCUCUGGGCGGGGUGUUUUGGAGUGUGACAGGGCUCCCAGAUGGGGGUUUCUGAGAGUCAGCCUGACAAACACUGGGAGCUGAGCCCUGAGGCCGUUGCUGGGAGACGCAGGGAAACAGGAAGUGGCGGGAGGAGCCCCACAGGCCAGGGAGGAAGGAGGGCUAGAGCUGCACUGACAGCACACAGCAUUGGGAGUGCACUCGGUGACAAGAGAUCGUGUCUGUCACGAUGCUGGCACAGCGGUCUGUCCUCUCCCCAGCUGUCUGCAACCGCGGUGAUGUGACAUACAGACAGCAGGGUUUCUACUGGUGACAAAGUCACAGACACCUGUGACACCACCCCAGCGUCUGGCCUGCAUUCACACUGGAGAAAUCAUACAACUGACCAUCGACGCCAGCUUUCUUUUAUGCUUCGAGAAACUAACAACAGCAACAAUAAUGCAACUUCGUUGUAUAGAUCUCUUUGUAUAUGUAUCUUUGUAUAUGUCUCUCAUGUAACUGAUACCGUCAACCACUCCUGCAAACAGCAAAUAACAAUCUUGGCAUUUUAUUGAUCGUAUUAUACCUAUUCCUGAAUGCCACAGAAAAUAAAGAAAGAGAAUGAAC
Herpailurus yagouaroundi (jaguarundi) is the source of this 752-nucleotide long non-coding RNA. RefSeq lists it as uncharacterized. The record is from RefSeq and is a predicted model, not a curated record. The transcript has 2 exons. Lineage: Eukaryota; Metazoa; Chordata; Mammalia; Carnivora; Felidae.